This 446-nucleotide ribosomal RNA is filed under the name uncultured bacterium. RNAcentral describes it as "partial 16S ribosomal RNA". It matches the Rfam family "Bacterial small subunit ribosomal RNA", at positions 354 to 796 of the family's 1533-position model. The record is from RNAcentral.
GUAGGGAAUAUUGGACAAUGGGGGGAACCCUGAUCCAGCCAUGCCGCGUGGAGGAAGACUGCCCUCUGGGUUGUAAACUCCUUUUAUAUGGGAAGAACCGUCCUCAUUAAUGAGUGACCUGACGGUACCAUAGGAAUAAGCACCGGCUAACUCCGUGCCAGCAGCCGCGGUAAUACGGAGGGUGCAAGCGUUAUCCGGAUUCACUGGGUUUAAAGGGUGCGUAGGCGGAUAAAUAAGUCAGUGGUGAAAUCAACGGGCUCAACCUGUUAACUGACAUUGAUACUGUGUAUCUUGAAUAUGAGAGAGGUAGGCGGAAUGUUGCAUGUAGCGGUGAAAUGCUUAGAUAUGCUACGGAACACCGAUUGCGAAGGCAGCUUACUAUUUCGUAAUUGACGCUGAGGCACGAAAGCGUGGGUAGCGAACAGGAUUAGAACCCCUUGUAGUCC